UGCAGUCGAGCGAACAGAUAAGGAGCUUGCUCCUUUGACGUUAGCGGCGGACGGGUGAGUAACACGUGGGUAACCUACCUAUAAGACUGGAAUAACUCCGGGAAACCGGGGCUAAUGCCGGAUAAUAUUUAGAACCGCAUGGUUCUAAAGUGAAAGAUGGUUUUACUAUCACUUAUAGAUGGACCCGCGCCGUAUUAGCUAGUUGGUGGGGUAAUGGCUUACCAAGGCAACGAUACGUAGCCGACCUGAGAGGGUGAUCGGCCACACUGGAACUGAGACACGGUCCAGACUCCUACGGGAGGCAGCAGUAGGGAAUCUUCCGCAAUGGGCGAAAGCCUGACGGAGCAACGCCGCGUGAGUGAUGAAGGUCUUCGGAUCGUAAAACUCUGUUAUUAGGGAAGAACAAAUGUGUAAGUAACUGUGCACGUCUUGACGGUACCUAAUCAGAAAGCCACGGCUAACUACGUGCCAGCAGCCGCGGUAAUACGUAGGUGGCAAGCGUUAUCCGGAAUUAUUGGGCGUAAAGCGCGCGUAGGCGGUUUCUUAAGUCUGAUGUGAAAGCCCACGGCUCAACCGUGGAGGGUCAUUGGAAACUGGGAAACUUGAGUGCAGAAGAGGAAAGUGGAAUUCCAUGUGUAGCGGUGAAAUGCGCAGAGAUAUGGAGGAACACCAGUGGCGAAGGCGACUUUCUGGUCUGUAACUGACGCUGAUGUGCGAAAGCGUGGGGAUCAAACAGGAUUAGAUACCCUGGUAGUCCACGCCGUAAACGAUGAGUGCUAAGUGUUAGGGGGUUUCCGCCCCUUAGUGCUGCAGCUAACGCAUUAAGCACUCCGCCUGGGGAGUACGACCGCAAGGUUGAAACUCAAAGGAAUUGACGGGGACCGCACAAGCGGUGGAGCAUGUGGUUUAAUUCGAAGCAACGCGAAGAACCUUACCAAAUCUUGACAUCCUUUGACAACUCUAGAGAUAGAGUCUUCCCCUUCGGGGGACAAAGUGACAGGUGGUGCAUGGUUGUCGUCAGCUCGUGUCGUGAGAUGUUGGGUUAAGUCCCGCAACGAGCGCAACCCUUAAGCUUAGUUGCCAGCAUUAAGUUGGGCACUCUAAGUUGACUGCCGGUGACAAACCGGAGGAAGGUGGGGAUGACGUCAAAUCAUCAUGCCCCUUAUGAUUUGGGCUACACACGUGCUACAAUGGACAAUACAAAGGGCAGCUAAACCGCGAGGUCAUGCAAAUCCCAUAAAGUUGUUCUCAGUUCGGAUUGUAGUCUGCAACUCGACUACAUGAAGCUGGAAUCGCUAGUAAUCGUAGAUCAGCAUGCUACGGUGAAUACGUUCCCGGGUCUUGUACACACCGCCCGUCACACCACGAGAGUCUGUAACACCCGAAGCC
RNAcentral lists this ribosomal RNA (1389 nucleotides) under Staphylococcaceae bacterium b5_i12. RNAcentral describes it as "bacterial SSU rRNA". It matches the Rfam family "Bacterial small subunit ribosomal RNA", at positions 56 to 1428 of the family's 1533-position model. The record is from RNAcentral. Lineage: Bacteria; Bacillati; Bacillota; Bacilli; Caryophanales; Staphylococcaceae.